UACAGAGGUCCCAAGCGUUGUUCGGAUUCACUGGGCGUAAAGGGUGCGUAGGCGGUCGGGUAAGUCUGACGUGAAAUCCCGCAGCUCAACUGCGGAACUGCGUCGGAUACUAUUCGGCUUGAGGGAUGGAGGGGAGACUGGAAUUCUCGGUGUAGCAGUGAAAUGCGUAGAUAUCAAGUGGAACACCAGUGGCGAAGGCGAGUCCCUGGACAAUUCCUGACACUGAGGCACGAAAGCUAGGGGAGCAAACAGG
RNAcentral lists this ribosomal RNA (253 nucleotides) under uncultured bacterium. RNAcentral's name for it is "partial 16S ribosomal RNA". It matches the Rfam family "Bacterial small subunit ribosomal RNA", at positions 524 to 776 of the family's 1533-position model. The record is from RNAcentral.